AGAGCAGUGUUUUACGCAGAGCGUUAUGAAACAUGGGAGGAUGAUCAAAGCCCGCCCUACCACUAUAAUACACACUAUUCAACAGCAGCAUCUACUUUAUCCUGGCUUGUUCGAAUUGAACCUUUCACAACCUUCUUCCUCAAUGCAAAUGAAGGAAAAUUUGACCAUCCAGAUCGAACCUUCUCAUCAAUUACCAGGUCUUGGAGAACUAGUCAGAGAGAUACUUCUGACGUAAAGGAACUAAUUCCAGAGUUCUACUACCUACCAGAGAUGUUUGUCAACAGUAACGGAUAUCAUCUUGGAGUCAGAGAAGAUGAAGUAGUGGUAAAUGAUGUUGAUCUUCCCCCCUGGGCAAAAAAACCUGAAGACUUUGUACGAAUCAACAGGAUGGUAAGAGAGAUUUUUGUCUUUGCUCAAGCAAUC
Non-coding RNA from Castor canadensis (American beaver), 423 nucleotides. NCBI's taxonomy places the organism in Eukaryota, Metazoa, Chordata, Mammalia, Rodentia, Castoridae. The record is from RefSeq and is a predicted model, not a curated record.